RNAcentral lists this ribosomal RNA (700 nucleotides) under uncultured Bacteroidota bacterium. RNAcentral's name for it is "bacterial SSU rRNA". It matches the Rfam family "Bacterial small subunit ribosomal RNA", at positions 86 to 784 of the family's 1533-position model. Lineage: Bacteria; Pseudomonadati; Bacteroidota. The record is from RNAcentral.
AGCUAGAGACCGGCGCACGGGUGCGUAACGCGUAUGCAAUCUACCUUUUACAGAGGGAUAGCCCAGAGAAAUUUGGAUUAAUACCUCAUAGUAUGUGAGAAUCGCAUGGUUUUCACAUUAAAGUUCCAACGGUAAAAGAUGAGCAUGCGUCCCAUUAGCUAGAUGGUAAGGUAACGGCUUACCAUGGCGACGAUGGGUAGGGGUCCUGAGAGGGAGAUCCCCCACACUGGUACUGAGACACGGACCAGACUCCUACGGGAGGCAGCAGUGAGGAAUAUUGGACAAUGGGCGCAAGCCUGAUCCAGCCAUGCCGCGUGCAGGAUGACGGUCCUAUGGAUUGUAAACUGCUUUUGUACAGGAAGAAACACUCCCUCGUGAGGGAGCUUGACGGUACUGUAAGAAUAAGGAUCGGCUAACUCCGUGCCAGCAGCCGCGGUAAUACGGAGGAUCCAAGCGUUAUCCGGAAUCAUUGGGUUUAAAGGGUCCGUAGGCGGUUUAAUAAGUCAGUGGUGAAAGCCCAUCGCUCAACGGUGGAACGGCCAUUGAUACUGUUAAACUUGAAUUAUUAGGAAGUAACUAGAAUAUGUAGUGUAGCGGUGAAAUGCUUAGAGAUUACAUGGAAUACCAAUUGCGAAGGCGGGUUACUACUAAUGGAUUGACGCUGAUGGACGAAAGCGUGGGUAGCGAACAGGAUUAGAUA